Molecule: long non-coding RNA, 435 nt
Organism: Raphanus sativus (radish)
Lineage: Eukaryota; Viridiplantae; Streptophyta; Magnoliopsida; Brassicales; Brassicaceae
Exons: 2
Source: RefSeq, a predicted model, not a curated record
CAAAACAUAUAUUUUUUAAAAACAGAGGGAAUAGUAGAGUGUGAGAAAUUAAAAGAAACCACGACAGUAAAGCAGGACAAAGUAGAAAAGCAGCCUAGCGACGAGCCAAGCUUAGACCAUAGGAUCCGAGAAGAGAACAGUCGAGAACAGGAGCCAGGUGCCACAAGCUAUCGAGAAAAAAACGCCUUCAAACUAUGAAAAAAAGCUUAUGCAGCUUCCGAUCACUCAACUGAACAUACCCAGCCAAAGAAUCCGAACACAAGCAGAACUCAACAAACCCGACAGCUAUACCCAGCCAAAGAGAUCGUAAUGGUCACUGCCUCAGGAACAAUCUGUGGUGGAAGCUUCUCUGGAUUGAUUUGGAGAACAUAAGACCACGUUUUGGUUUUGUUUACUUCUGUUAUAUGUUUGAUCUCAGUGGACUUUAAUCUCUUA